Molecule: ribosomal RNA, 225 nt
Filed under: uncultured bacterium
Lineage: Bacteria
Description: partial 16S ribosomal RNA
Rfam family: Bacterial small subunit ribosomal RNA
Source: RNAcentral
UACGUAGGAGACGAGCGUUGUCCGGAGUUACUGGGCGUAAAGGGUGCGCAGGUGGCGGCGCGCGUGGGGGGUGAAAUCGCCCGGCUUAACUGGGCGGGGGCCUUCCAGACGGCGGUGGCUUGAGCAGCGGAGGGGGACGUGGAAUUCCGGGUGGAGCGGUGAAAUGCGUAGAGAUCCGGAGGAACACCGACGGCGCAGGCAGCGUCCUGGCCGCUUGCUGACACU